RNAcentral lists this ribosomal RNA (192 nucleotides) under gamma proteobacterium L4-D07. RNAcentral describes it as "partial 16S ribosomal RNA". It matches the Rfam family "Bacterial small subunit ribosomal RNA", at positions 340 to 524 of the family's 1533-position model. Lineage: Bacteria; Pseudomonadati; Pseudomonadota; Gammaproteobacteria. The record is from RNAcentral.
UACGGGAGGCAGCAGUGGGGAAUAUUGGACAAUGGGGGAAACCCUGAUCCAGCCAUGCCGCGUGUGUGAAGAAGGCUUUCGGGUUGUAAAGCACUUUCAGUAGGGAGGAAAACCUUAUGGUUAAUACCCAUGAGGCUUGACGUUACCUACAGAAGAAGCACCAGCUAACUCCGUGCCAGCAGCCGCGGUAAU